UCUGCAGGCGGGCAAUUAAGUCAGAGGUGAAAUCCCACAGCUCAACUGUGGAACUGCCUUUGAUACUGGUUGUCUUGAGUUAUAGUGAAGUAGAUAGAAUAUGUAGUGUAGCGGUGAAAUGCAUAGAUAUUACAUAGAAUACCGAUUGCGAAGGCAGUCUACUAACUGUAUACUGACGCUGAUGGACGAAAGCGUGGGGAGCGAACAGGAUUAGAUACCCUGGUAGUC
RNAcentral lists this ribosomal RNA (228 nucleotides) under uncultured bacterium. Its description in RNAcentral is "partial 16S ribosomal RNA". It matches the Rfam family "Bacterial small subunit ribosomal RNA", at positions 568 to 795 of the family's 1533-position model. The record is from RNAcentral.